RNAcentral lists this ribosomal RNA (468 nucleotides) under uncultured bacterium. RNAcentral describes it as "partial 16S ribosomal RNA". It matches the Rfam family "Bacterial small subunit ribosomal RNA", at positions 28 to 507 of the family's 1533-position model. The record is from RNAcentral.
GAUGAACGCUGGCGGCGUGCUUAACACAUUCAAGUCGAACGGAAAUGCCCAAGCUUGCUUGGGUACUCGAGUGGCGAACGUGUGAGUAACACGUGGGUGAUCUGCCCUGCACUUCGGGAUAAGCCUGGGAAACUGUGUCUAAUACCGGAUAGUACGAUGGUUUUUAUGCCAUUGUGGAAAGUUUUUUCUGUGUGGGAUGAGCUCGCGGCCUAUCAGCUUGUUGGUGGGGUAAUGGCCUACCAAGGCGUCGACGGGUAGCCGGCCUGAGAGGGUGUACGGCCACAUUGGGACUGAGAUACGGCCCAGACUCCUACGGGAGGCAGCAAUGGGGAAUAUUGCACAAUGGGCGCAAGCCUGAUGCAGCGACGCCGCGUGGGGGAUGACGGCAUUCGGGGUGUAAACUCCUUUCGCUAGGGACGAAGCGUUUUUGUGACGGUACCUGGAGAAGAAGCACCGGCUAACUACGUG